GGAGGAGAAGUUGAGGCAGGUGGUCAAGCAAGUCCUGAAGUGCGAUGUGACUCAGAGCCAGCCGCUGGGCGCUGUCCCCCUGCCCCUGGCUGACUGCCUGCUGAGCACGCUGUGCCUGGAUGCCGCCUGCCCUGACCUCCCUGCC
This is a microRNA precursor of Equus caballus (horse), 145 nucleotides long. NCBI's taxonomy places the organism in Eukaryota, Metazoa, Chordata, Mammalia, Perissodactyla, Equidae. The record is from Ensembl.